AAAAGAAAAUAUAGAAAAACUAAAAGUUUUGUUUUUGUAGUUACAAUAUCUAAAGGAUAUAAGAAACAAGUUAUAUUGGAUAAAAUCCUCCUUUUUGUAUCACGGUCCAAUAAAUUUAUUAAUUAUCUAAGAACCCGAAUUCUGUUGAUUACUCUUAAUUCCGUUAAGAACUUAUAUAUUUAAAUGUAUUUUUAUAUAGAAAUAAAGAGAGAAUAAAAAUUAUAAUCGGUUCAGAAUAUAUCUGGUUGAGGUUAAAAAAUUACUAAGUACUUUUUUGGGUUAAUCUCAAAAAAGUAAAAAGAGGUAUUAUAUAAUUGAAAAAUGUUUAAGACGAAAAGUGUCUAAAACUAAAGGGUUUUAUAACUAUAUUUAAAAUGUAUGAUGAUCUUUAUUUUAUUAGUCCUUAUAUAAAUCAGUAUCAUAUAAUGAUGGAAUAAGUAAAUAAAAAUAAUUAUAAGGAACUCAAAAUUUUUACAACUGUUUAUCAAAAACAUUUCCUUUAGAAUAUAUUUAAAGGUAUUGCCUGCCCAAUGUUAAAUUAUUAAUGGCUGCGGUAUCUUAACUGCACUAAGGUAGCAUAAUUAAUUGUCUUUUAAAUGGUGACCUGUUUGAAUGGCUUAAUGAGAAAAAAAAUUUCUUUUAAUUAUAAUAAAAUUAUAUUUCAAGGUUAAAAUACCUGAUUAUAAAAGAAAGACGAGAAGACCCUGUUGAGUUUUACAUUUUAUUUAUAAUGUUAAAAUGGGAAAUUUAGCCUUUUAUUAAGGUUUAUUAGAUCCUGGAAUGAUAUAUCAUUUUGGAUGUAGGAUAAAAUUACCACAGGGAUAACAGGACAAUAUAUGCUAAGAGUUCUAAUCGAAGCAAAUGGUUGUUACCUCGAUGUUGAAUCGAAAUCUCUUUUUGAUGCAGCAGUCAAUAAAGUAGGUCUGUUCGACCUUUUAAAUUUCACGUGAUUUGAGUUAAGACCGGCGUGAGCCAGGUUGGUUUCUAUCUUUUUUUGGUCGAUCUUUGUACGAAAGGAAUUGAUCGGUUAGAUAUAUUCUAAAAUU
This 1046-nucleotide ribosomal RNA is filed under the name Notocomplana palta. Its description in RNAcentral is "16S ribosomal RNA". The stretch from base 688 to 993 matches the Rfam family "Bacterial large subunit ribosomal RNA", at positions 2074 to 2646 of the family's 2925-position model. Lineage: Eukaryota; Metazoa; Platyhelminthes; Polycladida; Notocomplanidae. The record is from RNAcentral.